GGGGAUGACCGGUUUUGACAGAGAAUAUAGUGUGUUUAUGGCAAGCCAAAGUUUUGUUCGGUAUCUUUGUAACUAAACCGACACUCCCAGAACUCACUGGGAAGACAAAAAUAAUCGUCGAAAACAAAGCACAAAGCUUUUUUGAUGCAGUUGCUGAGAAAGUUAACUCUUUCUUCGGCUUCCAGCUCAACUUAGCUGCCUAAGACCGCUCGAGCCUAGCUCGCGGUUAGAAGCCUUCUUUAGUUAUCUUUUCCUGAUGGGAUACUAAAGGAGAAACACAGUCAGGAUGCAGACUGUGCAGACUUGUAUGCUUUGCACAGCGAAGAAGAUGCAUGCAGUCGAUUGGUGGUUUUUGCAGGUUUCUAUUACCAAUCGUCUGAAAUAAAUCUGCUAAGCUUGUAGAACAUAGAUGCACGAUUUUCUGGACGCGGGUUCGAUUCCCGCCAUCUCCAAAA
RNAcentral lists this transfer-messenger RNA (455 nucleotides) under Candidatus Dojkabacteria. Its description in RNAcentral is "OLB21 sp001567305 Standard tmRNA". It matches the Rfam family "transfer-messenger RNA". From Rfam's summary of the family: Bacterial tmRNA, also known as 10Sa RNA or SsrA, is named for its dual tRNA and mRNA-like properties. Its role is to liberate the mRNA from a stalled ribosome. To accomplish this part of the tmRNA is used as a reading frame that ends in a translation stop signal. The record is from RNAcentral. RNAcentral also lists the same sequence under 1 other name.